This 370-nucleotide unclassified non-coding RNA is filed under the name soil metagenome. RNAcentral's name for it is "partial contains 5.8S ribosomal RNA, internal transcribed spacer 2, and large subunit ribosomal RNA". The stretch from base 1 to 120 matches the Rfam family "5.8S ribosomal RNA", at positions 35 to 154 of the family's 154-position model. The record is from RNAcentral.
GAUGAAGAACGUAGCGAAAUGCGAUAAGUAAUGUGAAUUGCAGAAUUCAGUGAAUCAUCGAAUCUUUGAACGCACAUUGCGCCCCCUGGAAUUCCGGGGGGCAUGCCUGUUCGAGCGUCUCAGGGACGAACCCUCGCGCGGGUGUACGCGCGGUCGUGGCUGCGGUGGCGUGCCCGAGGCGGCGGCCACCGCGCUGGAAUCCAUGGGCGGACGCCUGCCGCGUGGCCGAGCGUGAUAUGACGCAUUGGCGCUCGCACGCGGCGAGGCUGCCAGCCCUGGCCCGUCUGUCGGGCGGGGGAGAGCAAGACACGUGAACUCCUCGAAUCAGGUAGGGAUACCCGCUGAACUUAAGCAUAUCAAUAAGCGGAGG